Molecule: long non-coding RNA, 749 nt
Organism: Populus euphratica (Euphrates poplar)
Lineage: Eukaryota; Viridiplantae; Streptophyta; Magnoliopsida; Malpighiales; Salicaceae
Exons: 2
Source: RefSeq, a predicted model, not a curated record
UAGCUCCCAUACUAUUUGGAUUUUUGAAACAUCAUCAUCUUAGUAAAGUUAGAGGUUUAUGUUGUUGAUGACUGAACAGGCUGACAAUUUGUAAUCUAAAUAGAAGUUCUUACAAGAGGAUUAGCUGAGGUAUGCUGCCUGACUUUCCUUCUUAUAUUAACUUCUUUAAGUUUAGCCUCAUCGUUCUGACAACUUUUCGUUGAUCAUUCUGUACCCUUCCUACUUACAAAAGCUCAUAUGACUAUCUUGUUGCUAUAACUUAUGAGAAAUUUAAGGUGCUCAGAUUAACUAAAGAUAUCCUAUUAGUUACGAGCACCAUAAAAUUCUCCAUGACUUUGUUUCAAUUGCUUCAGGUCACUAACAAAAUAAAAUAUGCUACAGAAAAUUAUAAUCUUCAUCCGCUCUUCCUGAAUUUCACAAAGGUGCACAUAUUUUAACACUCUGAUUUCAGAGAUGUCUUGAAGACGAAAUGAAGAGGCCGAGCAUUGAGGGUUUGGUACAGACACGUUUUUACCUGUUGAUGCAGUGCAUUGAGUGUAAGCUAGGUAAUGAAACAUACAUAGUUUGAUGAUUUCUUGAUGGAUCAUAAAGCCCCGGAAAUUUUAACAAUUUCGAUUUAAGUUGUGCUUUGUGUCGAUCAAUUAAGGACAUUGAGAUUUGGACCUCAUAUUGUUUGUUUUUGGAUGACGGUAAACACGAAAAAUGUCAUUUCGAAAGUAAAGAGUUAUAAUUAUUCCAUAUCGUGUUAA